GACGACGCUGGCGGCGUGGAUUAGGCAUGCAAGUCGAACGGUAUCAUCCUUUCGGGGGUGAGAGAGUGGCGAACUGGUGAGUAACACGUAGGUUAUCUACCCUCAAGACGGGGACAACCCAGGGAAACUUGGGCUAAUACCGGAUGUGAGCAACUUUUAGUUGUUUGAAAGGUGGCGUAAGCUGCCGUUUGGGGAUGAGCCUGCGCUCUAUUAGUUAGUUGGCGGGGUAAAGGCCCACCAAGGCGAUGAUAGAUAGGCGGCCUUAACGGGUGGUCGCCCACACUGGGAUUGAGAUACGGCCCAGACUCCUACGGGAGGCAGCAGUCGAGAAUAGUCUACAAUGGCCGAAAGGCUGAUAGUGCGACGCCGCGUGAACGAAGAAGCCCUUCGGGGUGUAAAGUUCUUUUAUAUGUGAGCAGUGCUUUCUAUGUGAACAGCAUGGGGAGAGAGAUAUUAGCAUAUGAAUAAGCAACGGCUAACUCCGUG
This 486-nucleotide ribosomal RNA is filed under the name uncultured bacterium. Its description in RNAcentral is "bacterial SSU rRNA". It matches the Rfam family "Bacterial small subunit ribosomal RNA", at positions 33 to 507 of the family's 1533-position model. The record is from RNAcentral.